AAAUGAAUAGGAAUUGGCCAGACCAAUAUAUUUCAGUUAAAAUUUUUAUUCUAGCACUAAAACCGUAGGUGCUGUAAAGCUUAAGACUAAAGAUACUGCUGAUAACUUAUAUUGAAUGACCAAGGACCAUCCGAUGUACCAACUACUACUCUCAUUUGACGCCUUCAAUUACGUAAAAUCGUGACCGCCACAUAUUUGAUCGGUUUGUAAGAGCAGCGUGGCAAUCUUUUUUAAGUCAAUCGGUCAGAUUGGAGAGAGACGGGAAUCGCCCUCCCGCGCCCUUAUAAUUAUUUUUAAUUUCCGGGGCAACAUCGAUGUUUUUCCAUUUCAAGAUCGAAGAAUUUAAAGUACAUACUACUGUGCGCCAAAAUAAUCCCCUCCCGAUAAAAUACACUUAUGCCAACGUUUUUUCACAUCCCCGAAACAGGCCAAAUAGUCCCUUUCCGGUACAGCCAUGAGCGCCCUCGUCGAUUCCAUUUUUAUCUCUUCAAUCAACUCGAAACGCUUUCCCCCGAGUGGUCUCUUAAGUUUUGGGAAAAGCCAGAAGUCACACGGGGCCAAAUCAGGAGAAUGCGGUGGUUGCGGAACGAUACGCGUCAAAUUCUUGGCGAAAUGGUCACGAAGAACGAGUGCAGUGUGUGAAAAAACCAAGAGUUGUUGGCUCAUAUUUCUGGUCUUUUUCGGCGAAUUGCUUCACGCAAACGACGCAUAACGCUCAAAUAAUAUUCCUUAUUAACAGUUUGGCCAGUUAAAAAAAAUCUGGGACAUGGUAGAAUCACCAAAAGCCUUCCGCAACAUCCUUAACGUUUCCGCAGCCGAAAUUUUACUCCGCAAACAAAAUUUGAUGGCACUUCCUGCUCAAUUAAAUCAGACAUUGCAAAAAUCGACAAAUGCACUUUUGAUCGUUUGGUAAACACAAGCGUAAAUAUAGUACUGAUAAAUUACCGCCAGAUGUCAUCAACAGUCCUGCCAACUCAAGAAAAAAAGAACUGGUCCGCCAUCUUAAGCCCGAGAAUUUUAAAUUGAAAAUUCACAUUACUUUUUACAUCAUUAAAUUUCAUUCUUAAUUAUUUACAGAA
Drosophila biarmipes is the source of this 1079-nucleotide long non-coding RNA. RefSeq lists it as uncharacterized. NCBI's taxonomy places the organism in Eukaryota, Metazoa, Arthropoda, Insecta, Diptera, Drosophilidae. The transcript has 3 exons. The record is from RefSeq and is a predicted model, not a curated record.